RNAcentral lists this ribosomal RNA (933 nucleotides) under Triticum aestivum (bread wheat). RNAcentral describes it as "partial small subunit ribosomal RNA". The record is from RNAcentral. Lineage: Eukaryota; Viridiplantae; Streptophyta; Magnoliopsida; Poales; Poaceae.
AUGAGGUGGCACAAUUUGGAUUCUAGAACCAUCAUAUUGCAUGCUGCCAAACGCGGCCGAAGAAAACGUCGAGCCAGCUUGCUUUGGACUAUAGUAGCAACAGGCAGCAUUGCGGCUAUAAAUACAUCCACCGCGGGCGAGAGCAGCAAGCCACAAUUCACCACCGCUGCACGCACACUACCAUCACAAACUCGUCCAAGAAUACCAAGAGCGGCAUCAUCCAUGGCGUCCACUCGCGUCCUCCACCUCAUCAUCGCCCUCGUCCUUGCCGUCACCGUCGCCACAGAUGCGGCCACCAUCACGGUGGUGAACCGGUGCUCCUACACGGUGUGGCCGGGCGCGCUCCCAGGCGGCGGCGCGCGUCUCGACCCGGGCAAGUCGUGGCAGCUCAACAUGCCCGCCGGCACAGCGGGCGCCAGGGUGUGGCCGCGCACCGGAUGCACCUUCGACGGCAGCGGCCGGGGCCGGUGCAUCACGGGCGACUGCGGCGGCGCGCUGGCUUGCAGCGUGUCCGGCCAGCAGCCCACCACGCUGGCCGAGUACACGCUGGGGCGGGGCGGGAGCCGGGACUUCUUCGACCUGUCCGUCAUCGACGGCUUCAAUACGCCCAUGAGCUUCCAGCCCGUCGGCGGCGCGCCGUGCCGUGCGGCGACCUGCGCCGUGGACAUCACCAGGGAAUGCCUGCCAGAGCUGAAGGUGCCCGGAGGGUGCGCGAGCGCGUGCGGCAAGUUCGGCGGCGACACGUACUGCUGCCGUGGCCAGUUCGAGCACAACUGCCCGCCGACGAACUACUCGAGGUUCUUCAAGGGCAAGUGCCCCGACGCCUACAGCUACGCCAAGGACGACCAGACCAGCACCUUCACCUGCCCCGCCGGAACCAACUACCAGAUCGUUCUCUGCCCCGCACGAAAUGAUUUACACAUGGAUCAGUAA